GCCGAAGUGGUGAAAUUGGUAGACACGCUGCGUUCAGGGCGCAGUGGAGCUUGCUCCGUGGAGGUUCGAGUCCUCUCUUCGGCACCA
This 87-nucleotide transfer RNA is filed under the name Candidatus Latescibacterota bacterium. Its description in RNAcentral is "tRNA-Leu". It matches the Rfam family "tRNA". Rfam says of the family: Transfer RNA (tRNA) molecules are approximately 80 nucleotides in length. Their secondary structure includes four short double-helical elements and three loops (D, anti-codon, and T loops). Lineage: Bacteria; Pseudomonadati; Candidatus Latescibacterota. The record is from RNAcentral.